Molecule: ribosomal RNA, 449 nt
Filed under: uncultured bacterium
Lineage: Bacteria
Description: bacterial SSU rRNA
Rfam family: Bacterial small subunit ribosomal RNA
Source: RNAcentral
GAUGAACGCUGGCGGCGUGCUUAACACAUGCAAGUCGAACGGGAAAUAUUUCAUUGAGACUUCGGUGGAUUUGAUCUAUUUCUAGUGGCGGACGGGUGAGUAACGCGUGGGUAACCUGCCUUAUACAGGGGGAUAACAGUCAGAAAUGGCUGCUAAUACCGCAUAAGCGCACAGAGCUGCAUGGCUCAGUGUGAAAAACUCCGGUGGUAUAAGAUGGACCCGCGUUGGAUUAGCUGGUUGGUGAGGUAACGGCCCACCAAGGCGACGAUCCAUAGCCGGCCUGAGAGGGUGAACGGCCACAUUGGGACUGAGACACGGCCCAGACUCCUACGGGAGGCAGCAGUGGGGAAUAUUGCACAAUGGGGGAAACCCUGAUGCAGCGACGCCGCGUGAAGGAAGAAGUAUCUCGGUAUGUAAACUUCUAUCAGCAGGGAAGAUAGUGACGGUAC